GGUUGGAUCCCUGCCUAGUGCGGCGACGUCCUAUCUUGCUAUCCUCUUCAUUGUUGGCACAAUUUUUGUUGGUCGUUUGUCGGUUUCCUGUGUUGCGUACCUACUCGAUGGAAUUCGAUUGCCAAUCUCUCGCCGUUCGCCUUAGGCUSCCUCGUUGCGGUCGCAGGUGAAAUUCAAAAUGAGAUUCGUGUCCCCCGUGCUGCACGUUUCGUGUCGGUUCGUGGACCAUGAAUUCUCGUUCGGGCGCUGGGAUGCAGUAAACGACGAGGGCACGGAGUCUUCGACUCCUAUCUGUCCGCAUAGGCUCUAAUGCCUGUUUCGAACGACUUUCGGUCCCGUUCCGGCCUCGUGCCGUGCGGGCCGAUGUCUGUGAGGAAUGCUAC
RNAcentral lists this unclassified non-coding RNA (383 nucleotides) under Galianthe grandifolia. RNAcentral's name for it is "partial external transcribed spacer". The record is from RNAcentral. Lineage: Eukaryota; Viridiplantae; Streptophyta; Magnoliopsida; Gentianales; Rubiaceae.